RNAcentral lists this ribosomal RNA (256 nucleotides) under uncultured bacterium. Its description in RNAcentral is "partial 16S ribosomal RNA". It matches the Rfam family "Bacterial small subunit ribosomal RNA", at positions 524 to 776 of the family's 1533-position model. The record is from RNAcentral.
UACGUAGGGGGCUAGCGUUGUCCGGAAUCAUUGGGCGUAAAGAGCGUGUAGGCGGUCCGGUAAGUCCGCUGUGAAAGUCGGGGGCUCAACCCUCGAAUGCCGGUGGAUACUGUCGGGGCUAGAGUACAGAAGGGGCAACUGGAAUUCUCGGUGUAGCGGUGGAAAUGCGUAGAUAUCGAGAGGAACACCUGCGGCGAAGGCGGGUUGCUGGGCUGAUGACUGACGCUGAGGAGCGAAAGCAUGGGGAGCGAACAGG